Anopheles merus is the source of this 1562-nucleotide long non-coding RNA. RefSeq lists it as uncharacterized. Lineage: Eukaryota; Metazoa; Arthropoda; Insecta; Diptera; Culicidae. The transcript has 3 exons. The record is from RefSeq and is a predicted model, not a curated record.
AGUACAAUUCAUAUCGGGUGAUAAUUGUACAGGGUGCAUCGGGCUAUGUCGAACAGGUAUAGGUGUGUUUGUGUUGGUAAGUUCAGGACGAUGGUGAGACGGCCUUUGUGGGAGUGAGAUAAACUCACGCACACCGAGCCCGACCGGCCAAGAUCCUGCGCAAACUAAAAGCGAUGACGUCCGUGGUGUCCAACUGUGAUUUUACCAUCGACACUACCUGGUCAACGGUGACGGUUUUAGCUAACUUAGACAGAUGUAGCCACAUAUAGUUUGCUCUUGGUAGUUGUGACACGGUUGGGAUCGACGUGGUGGUGGUAUCGGUUCCUAUUAUUAUUGGUGGUAGUGAAGGGCGAUUUCUUUGGUGAGUAUUGUCGGUGUCUGUAUUUACAGGGUAUAGUGGAGCAUUGUCAACAACAAUGGCUUCCGUGGAUGCAACAACGUCACGGAACAACCUUCUACGCUUUCCACUCGGGAGGGCAUCUGGGGGCGAUACGUUGAAGCGUUCGCUAGGAGCUUGGUGAGCCGCGGCAAAACUGGCAAAGCCCUCACGGAUUUCGUGCAUCACAGGCGGGACUAAAGCAGCUUUCAUCACCUCGACAGCGGCAGUAAGAGCCGCCUGGAAGCCGACCUGCAUACCCGUUGUUUUAACUGCUUUACUAUGUGGGUUGCCAAGAGCAUUCGAACACCUUACACAGCUCCAAUGAAGAGAUGCCGUCCGUUUUACCUCUUCGAUCACAGUGAAAGUUGCCGUUGCAGAUAGAUGCCACAGGACUCAGGAACAAACGCAGGAAUACAGCAAAGUCAGGAAUGGUUGUGGCGAACAAUUGAAGGCAGGACUACCAGAGACAGCUUAUGUCACAGCUAAGCGGCAGUUUGACGAAAAUUAGGUCGAGACAACAAAAUAAUUCACGAAUUUACGCGGAGCACAGUGAGAAAACACACUCAGUCGUCAGCUGUCAACUGUCAACUGUGUUAUUUUAAAACUUGUUGGUGGAGGGUAUAUCAUAGUAUAUAUGUAGGAAAUAGGAGACAGUUGUCAGUUGUCAGACAAGGGAAGUGAGACGAGUGUCAAGGAAUGAAUUUAGGAUCACCCUGUGCUGAUGUCAAUCGAACUGACGACGCAGUAGGUUUAGCUAGAGCGAAACAUUCACGCGGGAGAAGCCAAGCGAAGCAGACGAAAGUGAAUAAGUGAACUGUAAAACCAUCUCUUUCCGCGUACCCUCUUUUCUUCUACGUUCUACAUGGGGGCUCAACCGGGAUGAGGCUAAGCAAAGUGAUGAGUUUACAGUUAUGAAAAGUUGCAUAAUGUCUUAAAGUUGAUAAAGUUGUUCAUGUCGUAAUGUUGAUAAAGUUGUAAAGUUGUUAAAGUCGUUCAAGUCGUAAAGUUAGUAAAGUUGUUAAGUUGCAGUAGUGGUUCGAAUUGGAAAAGUUGAAUUAGUUGGUGUUUCAUCCGAUGUGAAAGUGUGAAUUUGUGCCGAAAAGUUGACGUUGUGACGCAUAAAGGUUGUUAAAGUUGCGAUUGUGACGUUGUAAAGUGUGUUUAAAUAAAAGCUAAAGUUGUG